Molecule: ribosomal RNA, 1939 nt
Filed under: Alkalimonas collagenimarina
Lineage: Bacteria; Pseudomonadati; Pseudomonadota; Gammaproteobacteria
Description: partial 23S ribosomal RNA
Rfam family: Bacterial large subunit ribosomal RNA
Source: RNAcentral
AUUGGUGUUAGUGGAAUCCUUUGGAAAGAGGAGCGAUACAGGGUGAUAGCCCCGUACACGACAAUGCCUUUGCAGUGAAAACGAGUAGGACGGGACACGUGGUAUCCUGUUUGAACAUGGGGGGACCAUCCUCCAAGGCUAAAUACUCCUGACUGACCGAUAGUGAACCAGUACCGUGAGGGAAAGGCGAAAAGAACCCCUGUAAGGGGAGUGAAAUAGAACCUGAAACCGUGUACGUACAAGCAGUAGGAGCGGACUUGUUCCGUGACUGCGUACCUUUUGUAUAAUGGGUCAGCGACUUACAUUCUGUAGCAAGGUUAACCGAAUAGGGGAGCCGUAGGGAAACCGAGUCUUAACUGGGCGUCUAGUUGCAGGGUGUAGACCCGAAACCGAGCGAUCUAUCCAUGAGCAGGUUGAAGAUUGAGUAACAUCAAUUGGAGGACCGAACCCACUAAUGUUGAAAAAUUAGGGGAUGACUUGUGGAUCGGAGUGAAAGGCUAAUCAAGCUCGGAGAUAUCUGGUUCUCCUCGAAAGCUAUUUAGGUAGCGCCUCGAGCGAAUACCAUUGGGGGUAGAGCACUGUUUGGGCUAGGGGGUCAUCCCGACUUACCAACCCCAUGCAAACUCCGAAUACCAAUGAGUACUACUCGGGAGACACACGGCGGGUGCUAACGUCCGUCGUGGAAAGGGAAACAACCCAGACCGCCAGCUAAGGUCCCAAAGUUAUGAUUAAGUGGAAAACGAUGUGGGAAGGCAUAGACAGCUAGGAGGUUGGCUUAGAAGCAGCCACCCUUUAAAGAAAGCGUAAUAGCUCACUAGUCGAGUCGGCCUGCGCGGAAGAUGUAACGGGGCUAAAUCAUACACCGAAGCUGCGGAUUUGUGUGCAUCACCAGAAGCUAUUGAUUAACGUCGACGCGCGAAGCGCCCGGCGGUAAAGCGUUCAAACAACAGUCGAUGUUGAGAGAAUAACAGUAGUUUGUGGGAUGCACACAAGUGGUAGAGGAGCGUUCUGUAAGCCGUUGAAGGUUGUCCGGGAGGAUGGCUGGAGGUAUCAGAAGUGCGAAUGCUGACAUGAGUAACGAUAAGGGGAGUGAAAAACUUCCCCGCCGAAAGACCAAGGGUUCCUAUCCCAUGCUAAUCAGGGUAGGGUAAGUCGGCCCCUAAGGCGAGGCUGAAAGGCGUAGUCGAUGGGAAACGGAUUAAUAUUUCCGUACCGGCAAUACUGCGAUGGGGGGACGGAGAAAGCUAGGCAAUCGCGGCGUUGGUAGUCCGCGUGAAAGUGCGUAGGUUGGUGGCUUAGGAAAAUCCGGGCUGCUAAGACUGAGACACGAGACGAGACUCUACGGAGUUGAAGUUGCUGACGCUAUGCUUCCAGGAAAAGCCUCUAAGCUUCAGGUAUUGACGACCGUACCCGAAACCGACACAGGUGGUCAGGUAGAGCAUACCAAGGCGCUUGAGAGAACUCUGCUGAAGGAACUAGGCAAAAUAGUACCGUAACUUCGGGAGAAGGUACGCUCUUGCUCGUGAAGCCCUAGCGGUGGAAGCGAACGAGAGUCGCAGUGACCAGCUGGCUGCAACUGUUUAUUAAAAACACAGCACUCUGCAAACACGAAAGUGGACGUAUAGGGUGUGACACCUGCCCGGUGCCGGAAGGUUAAUUGAUGGGGUUAGCGCAAGCGAAGCUCUUGAUCGAAGCCCCGGUAAACGGCGGCCGUAACUAUAACGGUCCUAAGGUAGCGAAAUUCCUUGUCGGGUAAGUUCCGACCUGCACGAAUGGUGUAAUGAUGGCCAGGCUGUCUCCAGCAGAGACUCAGUGAAAUUGAAAUUGCGGUGAAGAUGCCGUAUACCCGCGGCUAGACGGAAAGACCCCGUGAACCUUUACUAUAGCUUGGCACUGAACAUUGACCCUACAUGUGUAGGAUAGGUGGGAGGCUUUGAAG